CACGCCCUAAACGAUGCGAACUGGAUGUUGGGCACACUACGGUGCUCAGUGUCGAAGCUAACGCGUUAAGUUCGCCGCCUGGGGAGUACGGUCGCAAGACUGAAACUCAAAGGAAUUGACGGGGGCCCGCACAAGCGGUGGAGUAUGUGGUUUAAUUCGAUGCAACGCGCAGAACCUUACCUGGCCUUGACAUCCACGGAACUUUCCAGAGAUGGAUUGGUGCCUUCGGGAACCGUGAGACAGGUGC
This 247-nucleotide ribosomal RNA is filed under the name uncultured Lysobacteraceae bacterium. RNAcentral's name for it is "uncultured Xanthomonadaceae bacterium partial 16S ribosomal RNA". It matches the Rfam family "Bacterial small subunit ribosomal RNA", at positions 796 to 1041 of the family's 1533-position model. Lineage: Bacteria; Pseudomonadati; Pseudomonadota; Gammaproteobacteria; Lysobacterales; Lysobacteraceae. The record is from RNAcentral.